RNAcentral lists this non-coding RNA (148 nucleotides) under Nomascus leucogenys (northern white-cheeked gibbon). Lineage: Eukaryota; Metazoa; Chordata; Mammalia; Primates; Hylobatidae. The record is from Rfam by way of RNAcentral.
GCUGGGCGUGGUGGUGGGCGCCUGUAAUCCCAGCUACUCUGGAGGCUGAGGCAGAAGAAUUGCUUGAACCCGGGAGGCGGAGGUUGCAGUGAGCUGAGAUCGUGUCACUGCACUCCAGCCUGGGCGACAGAGCAAGACUCUGCCUCUC